AUGCACGCUGGCGGCGUGCCUAAUCCAUGCCCGUCGAGCGAACAGACGAGGAGCUUGCUCCUCUGACGUUAGCGGCGGACGGGUGAGUAACACGUGGAUAACCUACCUAUAAGACUGGGAUAACUUCGGGAAACCGGAGCUAAUACCGGAUAAUAUAUUGAACCGCAUGGUUCAAUAGUGAAAGACGGUUUUGCUGUCACUUAUAGAUGGAUCCGCGCCGCAUUAGCUAGUUGGUAAGGUAACGGCUUACCAAGGCAACGAUGCGUAGCCGACCUGAGAGGGUGAUCGGCCACACUGGAACUGAGACACGGUCCAGACUCCUACGGGAGGCAGCAGUAGGGAAUCUUCCGCAAUGGGCGAAAGCCUGACGGAGCAACGCCGCGUGAGUGAUGAAGGUCUUCGGAUCGUAAAACUCUGUUAUUAGGGAAGAACAAAUGUGUAAGUAACUAUGCACGCCUUGACGGUACCUAAUCAGAAAGCCACGGCUAACUACGUG
RNAcentral lists this ribosomal RNA (496 nucleotides) under uncultured bacterium. RNAcentral describes it as "partial 16S ribosomal RNA". It matches the Rfam family "Bacterial small subunit ribosomal RNA", at positions 29 to 507 of the family's 1533-position model. The record is from RNAcentral.